This 74-nucleotide transfer RNA is filed under the name Alteromonadaceae bacterium TMED7. Its description in RNAcentral is "tRNA-His". It matches the Rfam family "tRNA". Rfam says of the family: Transfer RNA (tRNA) molecules are approximately 80 nucleotides in length. Their secondary structure includes four short double-helical elements and three loops (D, anti-codon, and T loops). Further hydrogen bonds mediate the characteristic L-shaped molecular structure. tRNAs have two regions of fundamental functional importance: the anti-codon, which is responsible for specific mRNA codon recognition, and the 3' end, to which the tRNAs corresponding amino acid is attached (by aminoacyl-tRNA synthetases). tRNAs cope with the degeneracy of the genetic code in two manners: having more than one tRNA (with a specific anti-codon) for a particular amino acid; and 'wobble' base-pairing, i.e. permitting non-standard base-pairing at the 3rd anti-codon position. Lineage: Bacteria; Pseudomonadati; Pseudomonadota; Gammaproteobacteria; Alteromonadales; Alteromonadaceae. The record is from RNAcentral.
GCACCUGUAGCUCGGCUGGAUAGAUUAACGGCCUGUGAAGCCGUAGGUCGCGCGUUCGAAUCGCGCCGGGUGAG